UAUUGGGUGUUAACGUUUGUAAAUUAAACGCGAUUUGUAGCUAACAAUUAAACUUUUUAUUUAACUCAAAUUACAAACACGCGGAAUUGAAAUUAUGACUGUAGAUUGAGCGAGAGGAUCUGACAGUUGACGGAUAUGUCUAUGACAACUUAUGACAGCAUUGUCACACCCCUACAUCACUCUCACCCGAGUGACAUUGCCGUCACGAUGACUUUUCGCUGGAGGAUAAGUGUGCUUCGGUGGCGGUCUGGAAUACAAAUAUGUUCGUUUAAGAUCCUGACGAUUGGUGAUUCGUUCGAUAACAGGAUGCGGACCUGAGUAAGGUGGCGAUAAUGAUAUACGAACUCGAUCAUCUCGUAGAAAUACGUGUGUGGCAGAACUUAAGUUUCGGUGUACGAAUUCGACAGUUGAUUCACGAAUUGAGCUGGAUUAUCGUCAACAGUUUGAUCAUCGAAAAAUUCACCUGGCAGUCGUACAGUGGAUCCAUACAUGAGCUCGGCACAUGAUGCGUUUAAAUCAUCCUUGUAACACGAUCGUAGUCCAAGUAGAAUGGGAACGAUGCCAUCUCUCAAGAAUGCCGUUGGAAGCUGGAUGGUAUGCCGAGGUUCUUGUUCGUUCGCAACCGAUUAGUUUCGCGAGUGAUUGGAAUAGUGCCGAUUCAAACUGGGAUCCUUGAUCCGUUGUAAUUAUUCGUGGCACUCCGAAUCUGGCUAUCCAAUUGUUGUAAAAAGUUUCGGCGACUGUAUUCGCUGUCUGGUCGCUUAUCGGUAUUGCCUCCGGCCAACGAGAGAAUCGAUCUAUCAUCGUCAAACAAUAUUUGAAACCUUUCGAGAGUGGGAACGGGCCAACUAUGUCGAUGUGUACCUGAUCGAAUCGACCAUCGGGAAUGGUGAUAUGCUGAGGAACGUUCUUCGUGUGUCUGCUUACCUUCGAACGUUGACACGGUAUGCAUGUUCGGCACCAUAACAGGAUGUCUUUACGCAUAUUCGGCCAGACGAAUUUGUUGCAAAUUUGUCGCGAUGUGGAACGUCCGCUUGGAUGAGCGAGCUGGUGAAUAGUGUCGAAUACUUUUCGUCGAAGUUGGGUAGGGAUGUAAGGUCGGACUUUACUGUCGGUUACAUCACAAUAAACUGGAAGUUGUCCUGCAGUCUGUAUUGCUUGUAGUUUUAAUGAAGUUGUGUUGCUAUUUAGUAAGGCUUGAAGUUCUUGAUCUUGUUGCUGUUCAUGCGAUAGUUUGUCUGCGGUGAACGAAGAUGGUAUGGAAAUGGCGUCAACUCGUGAUAGUAAGUCGGCGACUAUGUUGCUCUUUCCUGGUAUGUGGCUGAUA
This 1327-nucleotide long non-coding RNA is filed under the name Hermetia illucens (black soldier fly). RNAcentral describes it as "uncharacterized LOC119653830, transcript variant X2". Lineage: Eukaryota; Metazoa; Arthropoda; Insecta; Diptera; Stratiomyidae. The record is from RNAcentral.